This 332-nucleotide unclassified non-coding RNA is filed under the name soil metagenome. Its description in RNAcentral is "partial contains 5.8S ribosomal RNA, internal transcribed spacer 2, and large subunit ribosomal RNA". The stretch from base 1 to 120 matches the Rfam family "5.8S ribosomal RNA", at positions 35 to 154 of the family's 154-position model. The record is from RNAcentral.
GAUGAAGAACGCAGCAAAAUGCGAUAAGUAAUGUGAAUUGCAGAAUUCAGUGAAUCAUCGAAUCUUUGAACGCACAUUGCGCCCGCCAGUAUUCUGGCGGGCAUGCCUGUUCGAGCGUCAUUUCAACCCUCAAGCACAGCUUGGUGUUGGGACUCGCGUUAAUUCGCGUUCCCCAAAUUGAUUGGCGGUCACGUCGAGCUUCCAUAGCGUAGUAGUAAAACCCUCGUUACUGGUAAUCGUCGCGGCCACGCCGUUAAACCCCAACUUCUGAAUGUUGACCUCGGAUCAGGUAGGAAGACCCGCUGAACUUAAGCAUAUCAAUAAGCGGAGGA